UACGUAGGGUCCGAGCGUUUGUCCGGAAUUAUUGGGCGUAAAGGGCUCGUAGGCGGUCUGUUGCGUCGGGAGUGAAAACCCAGGGCUUAACCCUGGGCCUGCUUUCGAUACGGGCAGACUAGAGGCAUUCAGGGGAGAACGGAAUUCCUGGUGUAGCGGUGAAAUGCGCAGAUAUCAGGAGGAACACCGGUGGCGAAGGCGGUUCUCUGGGAAUGUUCUGACGCUGAGGAGCGAAAGUGUGGGGAGCGAACAGG
Molecule: ribosomal RNA, 254 nt
Filed under: uncultured bacterium
Lineage: Bacteria
Description: partial 16S ribosomal RNA
Rfam family: Bacterial small subunit ribosomal RNA
Source: RNAcentral